AAAAUUGAAAAAUAUAUUCUCAGAAACGAAAAACCCUUUCUCGUUCUUUCUCUAUUCUCCCAAACGAAAAACCCUUUUGUUCUUCAUCUUCUCCCAAACCAAAAAUCUGCUGAAAUCUCGCCGGAAACUGCAUAAAGUUGCUGGUAACUGUAUAGAGUACCGGAUUUUGGAAAUCAGAAGAAGCUCCAGCGAGAUAUUUCUUCUUCUCUUUUUGUGUUUUCUUGUCUAAAAGAAAACGCAAAUCCACAUCGUAGGUAACGGAGUCUCAUCUUACAAAUCCACAUUGACCAACGAAAGCGGCGUAAUGACUCGCCAUCCAUCUACGUCAUCUUUCCCAGUCGGAUCUCCCUCAAUUAGAGCUGAAACAAGUGGCCUCGAUGGUGAAGAAGUUGAACGGCGUGGUCUCCUUCUUGGCGAAGGCUAACUGUUCUCGCCGUUAUCUUUGGAAUCCCUAAAUUGUCUACACGUCACACAAGCGGCGAUUGUGAUACUGCUGUAGUGUAACAGUUAUGGGGAAACCGAGUUCACCUGUUUGGACUGAGAUCUACAACUCAUAAUACAGAUUGAUCAUGGGAGUAUCGGUUCUCAUUGGUAUUGCUCUUUUUCUCGGGAUUCUCGUCUUUCGUUCAUCUUCAAAAAAAAAUCGCAUCUAUGUCUUCAGCUUUUUUUUUUAAUUUUUAUAUUCUGCUUUAAAUAUCAUGCUGUUGAUUUGUUUAUCUUAAUCUUCUGCUAAGGUGGAAUCUCUACUAUAGUUUGAACUAAUGAAUUUAGAAAAAGAGUGAGAAAUGCAAUUGAAUUUGAUUUUUGAUUCCUAAAAUCCAGCCUAGCGAAUUGGAAUUGCAUGAGUUAACUUCGCGCGCAACUGUGUUAUAGUUUAGUUUCUAGAUUCGUUAAUUUUACUAGUAUAAUUUUGUCAAUUCGUUCUUGAAAUUAGUACUGUGAUGAAACACAGCUUAUUUGCAGCAUAUAGCAAAUUUAGCAGCUUAUAGCAAAGUGCUUAUCAAAAUAAGCGCUUAUAAUAUAAGCUGACAGAGAAAGAUAUAUGGAAAUUAGAUACAUGGUAGCGGACAGAGGAAUUGAAUAGCAAAUUCCAGAAAUGUUGGGCCAAGGAGUCUGAGAAGCCAAAACCUGGGCUUUUGAAAGCAUUAAAUGCAAGCCAUGGAGGAAGUCCAGCCAGAAUGGGCUAUAUUUACGCCUUCUCAAUUUUUGUUGGAGUGGUAGGAUACAAAUCUGAUUAAAUAUUUAUCUGCUGAUAUUUGGAUUUUAUUGAAUGCAUUUUGAAGACAACAGUUUUGAUUCUUAAUUUCUAUUUUUUUUGGUAACAUGAUUCUUAAUUUCUUUAUUAUAUGGGAGAGACUACCAACAAAUGCAGAAGAGGUGCAAAAUACAUUUCGAGCUCCGGUUUCAGACCAUAUAUCUGGCAGGCAGCAGCAAAACUUCAUAUCUAAUAACUUCUUCCAUUAUGUUUUGUAGAGGGAAAACAAGAUGUUACUUUUAGAACUGUCUUAAAAAUUUGACGAAGUUCUCUUUUUUGGUUUCGCCAUUGCAGCAAUCUGAAUUCAAGGUGAUGCAAAGAGACGGCGUUUUGGAUAUAGCUGCUUGGGAAGUGAUGGAAGAGAAGAAAAAAUGAAGUUGAUUACCUAUUUCAACUGCUUCUAUACCUGCAUGACAAAUAUUAAUAAUGCAAUCAACAUAUUUUCUUGGUAUUAUAUUGUUCUAUUUUUUCUUUGAAUCAAGAAAUGGUGCUAAGGAUGCACCGGUUGUGUUAUGGUUGACCGGAGGACCAGGUUGUGCCAGUGAACUAGCUUUGUUUUAUGAGAAUGGUCCUUUUAAAAUUAACAAUGAUUUGUCUCUUUCAUGGAAUGACUAUGGCUGGGACAAGGUAAUAACAUUUAAUUCCUAUGACAAGUUUUUGAACUAAUUAUGUCAUGAAUUUACGAUGGUUCUAAAUUGCGGUUAUCAUUGUUAAUCUCUUUUGAAAAAGUACAGUCUGAUCCAAAUCUGGUUCCUGUAACUUUUUCACAUGCCACAGUGGAUAAUAAGCACCUAGCAGAUAUCCCUAAAAACUCUGAUGAAGCAAUAUCUAAUGUUGUAACCCCGUCAGAUUGGUAUAACGAUGCAUGUAAUGCUACUGGUGCACAAUAUCAAAUUGUAAAAGUAUCGACUGCAGAAGUUUGACGGGCUAACUGUAACAUAGUUUUAAUCUAUUAUUUUGUUCCUUUCCAUUGAAACUGAAUGCUUACUUUCAAAUUCUGAUUUCAGCUAUAAUCAACCAGCUUACGAAAAAAUAGCUUGUGAAUGGGCAAAAGAUGAGUUUGGAUUUAUCGCUCCAAGCGAUUCUGUUUCAACAGGAAGUAGCAUAAUGCCUCAAAAAAGGAAUCUGGACCCAAUGGAACUUGUUCGUGGUAAGUCUGGCAGAGUCAUAGGGGGUUUGGUCACUCUUCUAACAGUGGAAAGGACUUCCACAUGCUUACAAUCGCGAUUUGCAGGUAGUUAGGUUUAAUAUGUCUAUGAAAUUACCUGGCCUUAUGUAUAAAUAUCCUACCUAGGUAUCCAUUUUUCUGUAGAGGGAUGUGUAACAAGCAUAUAGCUUUUUUAAAGGGGUAUAAGUAAUUUGAAAGUCUGAAGUGAUCCUUCCAGGUGUUGCCUUUCGUCUGUUAUAACACUUGGAAGCUUGUAGAAAAACUUCAUCCCUUCACACAUUAACAGUAUGCGGCCUUGCCCCUGUGAUAACAGGGAGGUUGUUUCCGGAGUGACCCGUGAAGUGCAAACAUUAUCUACUACUUCACGAACGAUAACAA
Vicia villosa (hairy vetch) is the source of this 2801-nucleotide RNA transcript. RefSeq lists it as uncharacterized. NCBI's taxonomy places the organism in Eukaryota, Viridiplantae, Streptophyta, Magnoliopsida, Fabales, Fabaceae. The transcript is spliced from 5 exons. The record is from RefSeq and is a predicted model, not a curated record.